UUUGGUUUUACUCAGAUAACCCAGCUCUAGACAGCAGAGAGAUGAGCUGUAGGCAUAGGGAGACAUGCAGCAUCUUUGCUGGGAUGGCUGUGAUAUUUGCAACACCUGUCAAUCUCUCCCUUCAUCCAGCCCUUGGAAGAAGGAGCCAGCAGCAGAGCAACAAAGAGCACAAAGCACCAAAACACCAGAUCCCAUGCCUGUGUCCAAGAGCCCAGAGGGAUGCCACUGCUGUUGCCAACCUACUGAACUUGAAAAUCUAAGAUGGCAGAGCCUGCAGGCAACUGAGGUCAGAGAAAACACAUCAAGGUUAAACACCUGAUGUUUUAAAAGCGCCGAAUGCUGUGAUUUCUAGGUGGACACCUAGAAAUAACUUGUGAUGCCCUGUGAGCCGUCCCUUCCCUAGGGAAGCUGCAGCCAGGAAUGCUGCAGGAGAGCUGAGGUUGCCAGGCACUUCCAGCAGUAUAAACCAGAGUGAUGCCAAGAGAGCUGGAAAGCAGGGAGUGUGCCAACCACAAAAUUAAUCUCUGAGUUAAUAAAAGCCUGCAUGGUUUGAGGUUUGUGAAGCA
This 566-nucleotide long non-coding RNA is filed under the name Chloebia gouldiae (Gouldian finch). RNAcentral's name for it is "Erythrura gouldiae (Gouldian finch) lncRNA (ENSEGOG00005014226.1)". Lineage: Eukaryota; Metazoa; Chordata; Aves; Passeriformes; Passeridae. The record is from RNAcentral.